Molecule: non-coding RNA, 26 nt
Filed under: Rattus norvegicus (Norway rat)
Lineage: Eukaryota; Metazoa; Chordata; Mammalia; Rodentia; Muridae
Source: RNAcentral
UGUUAAGAUGGUUUCCCUGUGAGGUA